CCUACGGGAUGCAGCAGUGAGGAAUAUUGGUCAAUGGACGAGAGUCUGAACCAGCCAAGUAGCGUGAAGGAUGACUGCCCUAUGGGUUGUAAACUUCUUUUAUAAAGGAAUAAAACGAGGCACGUGUGCCUUUUUGCAUGUACUUUAUGAAUAAGGAUCGGCUAACUCCGUGCCAGCAGCCGCGGUAAUACGGAGGAUCCGAGCGUUAUCCGGAUUUAUUGGGUUUAAAGGGAGCGUAGAUGGGUUGUUAAGUCAGUUGUGAAAGUUUGCGGCUCAACCGUAAAAUUGCAAUUGAUACUGGCAGUCGUGAGUACAGUUGAGGUAGGCGGAAUUCGUGGUGUAGCGGUGAAAUGCUUAGAUAUCACGAAGAACCCCGAUUGCGAAGGCAGCUUACUAAACUGUGACUGACAUUGAUGCUCGAAAGUGUGGGUAUCAAACAGGAUUAGAUACCCGAGUAGUC
This 460-nucleotide ribosomal RNA is filed under the name uncultured bacterium. RNAcentral describes it as "partial 16S ribosomal RNA". It matches the Rfam family "Bacterial small subunit ribosomal RNA", at positions 338 to 795 of the family's 1533-position model. The record is from RNAcentral.